This 1272-nucleotide unclassified non-coding RNA is filed under the name Streptococcus suis. Its description in RNAcentral is "bacterial SSU rRNA". The stretch from base 1 to 878 matches the Rfam family "Bacterial small subunit ribosomal RNA", at positions 656 to 1533 of the family's 1533-position model. Lineage: Bacteria; Bacillati; Bacillota; Bacilli; Lactobacillales; Streptococcaceae. The record is from RNAcentral.
GGAGAGUGGAAUUCCAUGUGUAGCGGUGAAAUGCGUAGAUAUAUGGAGGAACACCGGUGGCGAAAGCGGCUCUCUGGUCUGUAACUGACGCUGAGGCUCGAAAGCGUGGGGAGCGAACAGGAUUAGAUACCCUGGUAGUCCACGCCGUAAACGAUGAGUGCUAGGUGUUGGGUCCUUUCCGGGACUCAGUGCCGCAGCUAACGCAUUAAGCACUCCGCCUGGGGAGUACGACCGCAAGGUUGAAACUCAAAGGAAUUGACGGGGGCCCGCACAAGCGGUGGAGCAUGUGGUUUAAUUCGAAGCAACGCGAAGAACCUUACCAGGUCUUGACAUCCCGAUGACCGCCCUAGAGAUAGGGUUUCUCUUCGGAGCAUCGGUGACAGGUGGUGCAUGGUUGUCGUCAGCUCGUGUCGUGAGAUGUUGGGUUAAGUCCCGCAACGAGCGCAACCCCUAUUGUUAGUUGCCAUCAUUCAGUUGGGCACUCUAGCGAGACUGCCGGUAAUAAACCGGAGGAAGGUGGGGAUGACGUCAAAUCAUCAUGCCCCUUAUGACCUGGGCUACACACGUGCUACAAUGGCUGGUACAACGAGUCGCAAGUCGGUGACGGCAAGCUAAUCUCUUAAAGCCAGUCUCAGUUCGGAUUGUAGGCUGCAACUCGCCUACAUGAAGUCGGAAUCGCUAGUAAUCGCGGAUCAGCACGCCGCGGUGAAUACGUUCCCGGGCCUUGUACACACCGCCCGUCACACCACGAGAGUUUGUAACACCCGAAGUCGGUGAGGUAACCUUUUAGGAGCCAGCCGCCUAAGGUGGGAUAGAUGAUUGGGGUGAAGUCGUAACAAGGUAGCCGUAUCGGAAGGUGCGGCUGGAUCACCUCCUUUCUAAGGAAAUGGAAACCUGUACGUCAGUCUUCUUUAAUUUUGAGAGGUCUUGUGGGGCCUUAGCUCAGCUGGGAGAGCGCCUGCUUUGCACGCAGGAGGUCAGCGGUUCGAUCCCGCUAGGCUCCAUUAACAACGGAAGUUGUUAAGAUUUUGUCCAUUGAAAAUUGAAUAUCUAUCAAACAUUCCUAAACGUAUGUAAAAGUACGUAUAGAAAUAGUAACAAGAAAAUAAACCGAAAACGCUGUGAAUAUUUAAUGAGUUUUCUAAUUUUUGAAAAAAUUAGGUUAAUAAGGUUAAGUUAAUAAGGGCGCACGGUGGAUGCCUUGGCACUAGAAGCCGAUGAAGGACGUGACUAACGACGAAAUGCCUUGGGGAGCUGUAAGUAAGCAAUGAU